Molecule: long non-coding RNA, 199 nt
Organism: Helicoverpa zea (corn earworm)
Lineage: Eukaryota; Metazoa; Arthropoda; Insecta; Lepidoptera; Noctuidae
Exons: 2
Source: RefSeq, a predicted model, not a curated record
GCCAAAAACAAAGCUUGGAUCCAGUCACAAAUAGUUUUAAUGCGAUAGGAACCGUUUACAGUUUCAGGUGGUGCGAGAAAUUGGAAAGACGUGUAAAAUCAUGCUGCGCCCAGCUCACCCCAAAUUGAAUUGGUGCAGGAGGAUGAUGAUAAUGUUUGGUACAUCAUAUGAGGACUAAUAUUAAAAUAUUUGUUUACUA